Molecule: RNA transcript, 2718 nt
Organism: Panicum virgatum (switchgrass)
Lineage: Eukaryota; Viridiplantae; Streptophyta; Magnoliopsida; Poales; Poaceae
Exons: 4
Source: RefSeq, a predicted model, not a curated record
GACCCUCGCCGCCGCAUUGCAGCCCUCGCCGACCCUCGCCGCCGCCUCGCAGCCCUCGACGACGGCCCUCGCGCCGCUGUGGGUCCAGCCACCGCGCUCGGCAGUCCUCCCCGGCUCCCUCCCAUCCUCGCGCUCGGCUGGUGCCUCCCCUCGCGCUCGACAGUCCUCCCCGGCUCCCUGCCCAACACCCUCCCCGGCUCCCCCAUCCUCGCGCUCGGCUGCUGCCUCCGUCGAUCCUGGCCUGCACUCCAUCGGGACUCCACCUCUCCGUCGCACCGUCCCAUCUGCUGACCAUGGGUUCGCAUCCGCCGCCGAUCCCUCGGUAAACAAUUUCAGUGUUCUAAAAAUCUCUGACUUUAACAGUUGGUUACCAAUUUCUCGCCGCCGAUCCCUCGGUAAACAAUUUCUGUGUUCUAAAAGUCUCUGAUUUUAACAGUUGGUGACCAAUUUCUGUGUUUCUGAUGGUAACAGAUUCCCCAAAAGUCUGUGGCCGGAGCCGCACUUGGAGGCCACCUCCUUGCCCUCGCCAAGACCUGUUGGUUUAAUUAUUUCUAACCUCUACACUGAUCUCAAAUCCAUCCUAUACUACUUCCCAAUGAGAGUUACAUUUCAGCCUCUUACAUUUCAAAAGUAAUAUUUUUCCAAGCUGGUAUGUGUUUAUUGGCAUGGACGAUUUACUUUAGUAGCCCCAAAAAAGGCAUCCUAAAACAAGGUUGUGCUCUCCUCCUGCAGUGAAGCCAAAAGAAAGUAGAUGUGCUAUUAUUCUUCACUCUUCAUUUCAAUGCUGUUAACAACUGGUACAAGUAAUCCUCAUGGGAUCUGUCCAGUAAUUGUGCAGCUGCCCUCUCUCCUCUUCCCACUUCUUUGCUAAUUUUUGCUAAGUGUGACCAAUUCUGUUCGUCAGUUAUCUGCAUUGUUUUAUUUGGUUUGCUAUUGCCAACAAUUAACAAGUAGUAUUUGUUCAUUACUUGAGUUCAUGCUUUGCACCGCUUGAAAUUGGUAUUGGAACUGCAGUUAGAGUUUUAUAUCAUUCCUGUAACUGAAGUGUAUAAACUGCCACAAUAAAGUUGUGACAUCCAGGUGCCUAAAAGUUUGUACAUAAGUAUAUUUCUCAUCUGUGCAUAAUUUUUACCAUUCCGGGAUGCCAAUGUAUUCAGAAAUGAAGCUAGCUUUAUUUGUCUACAUACCUCUGGAACCCCAAAAUAAAGGUAAGAAAGCAUAUUUGUCCUUCACCUUUUUCUUCUUUAGCAAACCAUACCUUUGUUUGGGUACGCAUCUGCUUUUAACUUAGUGCCUAUGGAACGAAUUAAUGUUGUAUGUGACACCUUUUUGGGCCCAUAUGAUGCAGAAUGAACUGAACAUCGAGCAGAGGUGUUCUUUAUUUUUAGUGUGGCAACUGAGCUUCAGAACUUUCAGUGUCAAAACAGAGAUUCAGGCUAAGGUACAGGACACCAAGACAAAUAUUAAGAAAGAAAGGUGGAGUAAAAUCCAUAUCACUAGCUGCUCAAUAAGUUUACCUAUAGAACAUGUUUCUUAUUAUUCAUUAAAAUAUAAAUAUAAAGCUUAUUUAAAGAUUUGAAAAAUUCUAAUGCAGUGUCAGGUCAUAUUGGGGUGCAAACUUAGGCUUUUGUCAUUGUUCGUAGCUUGGAGAAUGCAAAACGAGAUGAAUGUAUCCCACGACAAAUUAGACAAGUUUGGAUUGUAGUUCGUUUUCUAGGGACUAUGCCAUCAACAUGAUUCCUUUUUGUUAAGCAUUUUCCUUAGCUGCAUUUUUGUUCUGUUCAUGUAUCGUCAUCUGAUUACUCAUAAAUUGCAGAGGCUUUAUGAGGAUUUUCACAAAGAAGCACCUGCUGAUCUACUAGCCCAUCUAGGAAGUUUGGAUGCCUAUUCUAAUCAGUUUAGAACAUAUAUGCUAAAACCUGUAUUCACUUGUAUAGUCCAUGCUUCCAAAGUAGCUACAAUCAUGAUGCUAGAUUGGAACUCUGUUAUGUCACUAGAGGAAAUAACUACAUGCUAGAGUGUGAAAUUGGUUCACCAAGUUAUUGUUUAUAUUUGUGCAAAUUAGAAAAUUGGCAACUGCAUGACAUUGCUUUAUUGUUUUUUCCCAUCACCAAUCAAGUGAGCAAUUAAUUUCUUAUACAGUUUCCAGGCCGUCUCUGGGAAUAUGGAUAUUGCUCCAUUCAAGCUGGACACUAAUGAGCUAAUAGCCGAUUAUGACAAGGAGAACAACACGGCAUUGGCUGACUUCAAGCGAGUUUGGAAGGCAAAGAAAUUUUCUUAUCUCUAUGAAGGCAGACCUAAGACAAACUCCGAUUUCUUCAUGUAGUCCCUCUUUCUGCAUUGUAUUGGUCAUUUGACUUCUCCAAGUUCUCUACACUGAAGAUUGCCUAGGCUUUACUGCCUUUACUGUCAUUGUGAGUGUCAGCCAUACAAGCCACAGUUCAAGAUCUACUUGUCCAGUCAUGUGCUUUUUUAUCUUGCUACGUGCUUGCUGUGGAGUUGUGUAUCUGAUCGAUGCAAUUGAGAUGGAGUUGGGCACGUCAUGUUGAAAUACUGAUCAUGUAAGUUUAUCUAAAUGAUUGUCGUAAAUAUGUUAGGUCCUUUGUGUUCUUACGUAUUUUGCGUGUGCAAAUUGGUUGGAACAGUAGUUCUGUAUCGAUACUGUUACUUUGUUAGAGAUUAUGCCUCCAGAACAAUGGCAAGAUUUUCAUGGUCAAA